This 427-nucleotide ribosomal RNA is filed under the name uncultured bacterium. RNAcentral's name for it is "bacterial SSU rRNA". It matches the Rfam family "Bacterial small subunit ribosomal RNA", at positions 355 to 774 of the family's 1533-position model. The record is from RNAcentral.
UGGGGAAUUUUGGACAAUGGGCGCAAGCCUGAUCCAGCAAUGCCGCGUGCAGGAUGAAGGCCUUCGGGUUGUAAACUGCUUUUGUACGGAACGAAACGGCUCUGGUUAAUACCUGGGGCUAAUGACGGUACCGUAAGAAUAAGCACCGGCUAACUACGUGCCAGCAGCCGCGGUAAUACGUAGGGUGCGAGCGUUAAUCGGAAUUACUGGGCGUAAAGCGUGCGCAGGCGGUGAUGUAAGACAGAUGUGAAAUCCCCGGGCUCAACCUGGGACCUGCAUUUGUGACUGCAUCGCUGGAGUGCGGCAGAGGGGGAUGGAAUUCCGCGUGUAGCAGUGAAAUGCGUAGAUAUGCGGAGGAACACCGAUGGCGAAGGCAGCCUCCUGGGCCAGUACUGACGCUCAUGCACGAAAGCGCGGGGAGCAAACA